CUUCUCUGCUCCCGCGACUCGACCCUCUCUCUAUAAAUACAACCGCCGGCUCCCACCGCCAAACCAUCCAUCACAGACCACCACACCAACAACAGACUACGGAGGACCGCCGCCGCCCACGCAAAAACCCACCCGAUCCCCGCAAAAACCCCCGCACGCGAUCCACGCCAAUUCCAGUCACCGCGAUGCAGGGUCUCGCCCCGCCCACCUCUGUUUCCAUACACCGGCACCUGCCGGCCCGGUCCAGGGCCCGGGCCUCCAAUUCCGUCAGGUUCUCGCCGCGCGCCGUCAGCUCCGUGCCGCCCGCCGAGUGCCUCCAAGCGCCGUUCCACAAGCCCGUCGCCGACCUGCCGGCGCCGUCCAGGAAGCCCGCCGCCAUUGCCGUCCCAGGGCACUCCGCGGCGCCGAGGAAAGCGGACGGCGGCAAGAAGCAGCUCAACUUGUUCCAGCGCGCCGCGGCGGCCGCGCUCGACGCGUUCGAGGAAGGGUUCGUGGCCAACGUCCUGGAGCGGCCCCACGGGCUGCCCAGCACGGCCGACCCGGCCGUGCAGAUCGCCGGCAACUUCGCGCCCGUCGGGGAGAGCCCGCCCGUGCACGAGCUCCCCGUCUCCGGCCGCAUCCCGCCCUUCAUCGACGGGGUCUACGCGCGCAACGGCGCCAACCCCUGCUUCGACCCCGUCGCCGGGCACCACCUCUUCGACGGCGACGGCAUGGUGCACGCGCUGCGGAUACGCAACGGCGCCGCCGAGUCCUACGCCUGCCGCUUCACGGAGACCGCGCGCCUGCGCCAGGAGCGCGCGAUCGGCCGCCCCGUCUUCCCCAAGGCCAUUGGCGAGCUGCACGGGCACUCCGGGAUCGCGCGCCUCGCCCUGUUCUACGCGCGCGCCGCGUGCGGCCUCGUGGACCCCUCGGCCGGCACCGGCGUGGCCAACGCCGGCCUCGUCUACUUCAACGGCCGCCUGCUCGCCAUGUCCGAGGACGACCUCCCCUACCACGUCCGCGUGGCGGACGACGGCGACCUCGAGACCGUCGGCCGCUACGACUUCGACGGGCAGCUCGGCUGCGCCAUGAUCGCGCACCCCAAGCUGGACCCGGCCACCGGGGAGCUCCACGCGCUCAGCUACGACGUCAUCAAGAGGCCGUACCUCAAGUACUUCUACUUCAGGCCCGACGGCACCAAGUCCGACGACGUGGAGAUCCCGCUGGAGCAGCCUACGAUGAUCCACGACUUCGCCAUCACCGAGAACUUCGUGGUUGUGCCCGACCACCAGGUGGUGUUCAAGCUCCAGGAGAUGCUGCGCGGCGGGUCGCCCGUGGUGCUGGACAAGGAGAAGACGUCGCGGUUCGGCGUGCUCCCCAAGCACGCCGCGGACGCGUCGGAGAUGGCGUGGGUGGACGUGCCGGACUGCUUCUGCUUCCACCUGUGGAACGCGUGGGAGGACGAGGCGACGGGCGAGGUGGUGGUGAUCGGCUCCUGCAUGACCCCCGCCGACUCCAUCUUCAACGAGUCCGACGAGCGCCUGGAGAGCGUGCUGACGGAGAUCCGCCUGGACGCGCGCACGGGCCGGUCCACGCGCCGCGCCGUCCUGCCGCCGUCGCAGCAGGUGAACCUGGAGGUGGGCAUGGUGAACCGCAACCUGCUGGGCCGCGAGACCCGGUACGCGUACCUCGCGGUGGCGGAGCCGUGGCCCAAGGUGUCGGGCUUCGCCAAGGUGGACCUGUCCACGGGCGAGCUCACCAAGUUCGAGUACGGCGAGGGCCGGUUCGGCGGCGAGCCAUGCUUCGUGCCCAUGGACCCGGCCGCGGCCCACCCGCGCGGCGAGGACGACGGGUACGUGCUCACCUUCGUCCACGACGAGCGCGCCGGCACGUCGGAGCUACUUGUGGUCAAUGCCGCCGACAUGCGGCUGGAGGCCACGGUCCAGCUGCCGUCCCGCGUGCCCUUCGGCUUCCACGGCACCUUCAUCACGGGCCAGGAGCUCGAGGCCCAGGCGGCCUGACCGAGCUCCACGUUUCUCGGAGGAGGAACAGAGGAGCCAGCCAUGGAUCAGGGGAGAAGUCACCAGAGGGAGCCCAGAUCAGUUCCCCGGGGUCUUCCUGUCCCCCCACGCACACCAGAGUUACAGUUGGUAGUUGCUUUGCUUUGCCUUUUUUUUUUCAUUAUUUCAUUUGACACUAGUGUAAGUAAAUUGGGAUAGUGGCAGCUUAGAGAGAGAGAGAGAGAUUAGUAGAAAGGCGCCCAGCUCGUAGCUUUUCAGCUGGUGGUGCCUCUGGCUAGUAUAGAGUACAUAUUUUUUCUUCUUCUUCUUUGCUUUAUCCCUUUUUUUUUCUCCCUUUGGAUGACAUGGAUGUGCAUCCAGCUCCAGUUGUUGUCACCCAGUCCAGUGGACUGGGGUGUCUGGGAUCUUGGUUGCUGCUACUUGCUCGCCAUUGCCACCCAGUUGCUGCCGCUGCUGCUGAGGUGUUGCUGGCUUGGCUUAUAUACUCUGUGUUCCCUGUGGCUAUCGGUGCGUGUACAUUUGUUCACAGUAUAUGACUGAUGGUAUGAAAACAAGAACCGGUGACGGUUUCUGUCU
Molecule: unclassified non-coding RNA, 2576 nt
Filed under: Zea mays
Lineage: Eukaryota; Viridiplantae; Streptophyta; Magnoliopsida; Poales; Poaceae
Description: misc RNA Zm00001eb050380
Source: RNAcentral